This 253-nucleotide ribosomal RNA is filed under the name uncultured bacterium. Its description in RNAcentral is "partial 16S ribosomal RNA". It matches the Rfam family "Bacterial small subunit ribosomal RNA", at positions 524 to 776 of the family's 1533-position model. The record is from RNAcentral.
CACGUAGGGCGCAAGCGUUGUCCGGAAUUAUUGGGCGUAAAGAGCUCGUAGGCGGUCCGUCACGUCCGCUGUGAAAACCCAGGGCUCAACCCUGGGCUUGCAGUGGAUACGGGCAGACUAGAGGUAUGCAGGGGAGAACGGAAUUCCUGGUGUAGCGGUGGAAUGCGCAGAUAUCAGGAGGAACACCGGUGGCGAAGGCGGUUCUCUGGGCAUUACCUGACGCUGAGGAGCGAAAGUGUGGGGAGCGAACAGG